This is an unclassified non-coding RNA of Cercocebus atys (sooty mangabey), 112 nucleotides long. NCBI's taxonomy places the organism in Eukaryota, Metazoa, Chordata, Mammalia, Primates, Cercopithecidae. The record is from Ensembl.
GAGCUCUGUGGACUAGAGAUGUUUCUCAUGGUUUUUCAGUGAGUUCUUAGGGGCCCCAGCCUCUCAGGCAGCUUAUCAUGACUUUCCCUCUGAGCUGAUGAGAUCGGACAUC